This 101-nucleotide transfer RNA is filed under the name Microbacterium thalassium. Its description in RNAcentral is "tRNA-Arg". The record is from RNAcentral. Lineage: Bacteria; Bacillati; Actinomycetota; Actinomycetes; Micrococcales; Microbacteriaceae.
UGUCGCCGUCGGCCGCCGACCGCGGGGUCGCGACCUCCCGCGAGGUCGUCGGCGCCUUCGAGAUCGAGGCGUCGGCGACGAUCGUGUCGUCGGGCGGCAUC